CCUACGUGAGGCUGCAGUGAGGAAUAUUGGUCAAUGGGCGCGAGCCUGAACCAGCCAAGUAGCGUGAAGGAUGACUGCCCUACGGGUUGUAAACUUCUUUUAUAAAGGAAUAAAGUGAGGCACGUGUGCCUUUUUGUAUGUACUUUAUGAAUAAGGAUCGGCUAACCCCUUGCCAGCAACCUCGGUAAUACGGAGGAUCCGCGCGUUAUCCGGAUUUGUUUGGUUUAAGGGGAGCGUAGAUGGGUUUGUAAUUCAGUUGUGAAAGUUUGCGGCUCAACCGUAAAAUUGCAAUUGAUACUGGCAGUCUUGAGUACAGUUGAGGUAGGCGGAAUUCGUGGUGUAGCGGUGAAAUGCUUAGAUAUCACGAAGAACUCCGAUUGCGAAGGCAGCUUACUAAACUGCCACUGACAUUGAUGCUCGAAAGUGUGGGUAUCAAACAGGAUUAGAGACCCCAGUAGUC
This 460-nucleotide ribosomal RNA is filed under the name uncultured bacterium. Its description in RNAcentral is "partial 16S ribosomal RNA". It matches the Rfam family "Bacterial small subunit ribosomal RNA", at positions 338 to 795 of the family's 1533-position model. The record is from RNAcentral.